Molecule: long non-coding RNA, 2382 nt
Organism: Nematostella vectensis (starlet sea anemone)
Lineage: Eukaryota; Metazoa; Cnidaria; Anthozoa; Actiniaria; Edwardsiidae
Exons: 2
Source: RefSeq, a predicted model, not a curated record
CUUAGCUUAUAGCGUAAAAUGGUGAUAUGGGAUAUUACUGAUUUAGAAAAGAGUUAUUUAUGUAAUGAGUACCAAUGUUGUUGAGCAUAUUCUCAGGGCAAACGCUCCAGACGCCAGGUAAAACUACUCUGUUUGUAAAGAUGCUACCUGUCAUCCAUUGCCUAUCUUCUGAGUUCCAUUGUGGAACAUAAAAACACCCACAGAAUGCUUUCACUUUUCCCUGUUGGCAGCUCUUGCAUCCUUAUAUCGACCUGUAACCUUAGAACCUUCAUUAUUUAGUUUCUUUCUCUCUUUUUCUUCUUUCCUUUGCCAACUCGUCUCAGGCCUCCAUCUCCAUUUUCCUACUUUUGUUCAGGUGCUGUGUUGAAACCUCUCCUUCCUCCUGUAUAAGGAUAGUCUUUGAGGCUCUAGCGAUGUCCUUAUUGACGGGUUUUCAUUGUAUGAGGACAGUCUUGUAGGUCCCAACGGUGUCCUUAUUAACGAAGCUCUACUGGAUUAGGAAAGUUUUUAUAGGUUUCCAAGUGAUGUCCUUUUUAACCGGGUUCCUCUGUAUUAGGACAGUCUUGUAUGACCCAAUUGUGCCCUUUAACGAGGUUGCUGUGUUGAAACCUCUCCCUCGAUUCCUUUUGUCUCGCUGUAGGAUAUAACAUAGUCAUCUACCACAUGCGCCUGUUAAUAACCUCUUUUCUCUAAGUCAUCCUGCUCUACUAGUCCAAUACUAUGACAAAUAAAUGCAUGGCAUUGUUCUCUUCCGUUGUUUUACCUUGUUCUCAAAUACGCUCCAGUGUCCUCAAUUGCUUUAACUAAUUUAUUUAUUUAUUAGCAAUAUUUAAGCAGGCUACCCAAUUCAGCAUAGCUGGUUUAAAUGGAGGCAAUGAAAUAUAAAAUAAUAUAGGAAAAUAUAAGUUAAGCUACAAUACAUUACAUAAGUUACAUAGGUAUUGUUUGAGUUACAGAACGGAUGUUUAAAGAUAAAGAUAAAGUAUUCCAGGUUUAAGCCCCAUUGUACCUGAAAGAGGAUUGCCAUUUAGACGUUUUUGCAAGUGGCACAAUGAUUUGAUCUUUGUUACGAGUAUUAUAGGCAUGGAAGACACGAGAAAAGGAAAAUUUAUUUAAAAGAUAGGCUGGCGCUAUGCCAUUUAAGCAUUUGAAAACCAGAAAACAGAUAUGAAAUUGUCUGCGCGAUUCGAGAGAGGGCCAGCUGAGAGUGCGCCUUAUUUCGUGCUGCUGAACUGGAAUCUUUCUAUGAUGCUAACAGCACGCCGCUGCAGUCUGUCCAGGUAGGCGCUGUUCGUUUGACCAAGGCCAACCCAAACCGCGGACAGUAGUCAACAAUGUAAGGAUCAUGGACUCAUACAACAUGAUACAAGCCUACCCUGGAAUGACCUCUCCCAGCGGCACGUUAUUUUCUCUUCCCCAUCAUAGAGAAACAACGCGCCGCUGUGAAUCGAGGUGGUCUAGUUACUCAUUUACCAGGUGGCGGCGGUUACAAAGCCCGUUCUUUGAAAGGUCGCAAGCGCGAAGAGACAGAGCUCCCUGCAGGAGCGAAACCAAGGCAAAUACAUCCAGUCGAAGUAGGAAUACGUGCUUAUUCAACACUAACAAGUCAAUAGACUUCAUUUCGGAGUUAAAUUAUUCUAUAGCCCGAGCUAAGUCGUUUAUGUAAGAAAUGAACAGCAGUGGACCGAACAAGGACCCCUUACCCGAACGCGUUUGGUUGGCGGUGUGAGAUGACACAAUUGGCACAAAUAUCACUAUGGGUCCUGUUAGUGAGAUGCGCUUUGAAUCAAUUUGUAGUAAAACUAUUAAUUGUUGUACAAUUAUGUAAUAGUUUCAGUCGAUGCUAUGCAUAAAUGUGUCGGUGGAUCGGACAACCCUUACACUUAUUGUGGAACACCUUAAUCCUCUUUUUGUUUGAACAUUUUUUAUUUUCCGUAUCCGUACUGGCACACCAGUUUUGAACAAUCUAAGCAUGGCUCUUUUCAUAUUUUUGUAUGAUUUAAAAAAGGCUAAAAUGGCAGAGGGAGUCAAAUGUUCAAGGUAGCUUAUAUAUAAUAAUAAUAAUAAUAAUAAUAAUAAUAAUAAUAAUAAUAAUAAUAAUAAUAAUAAUAAUAAUAAUAAUAAUAAUAAUAAUAAUAAUAAUAAUAAUAAUAAUAAUAAUAAUAAUAAUAAUAAUAAUAAUAAUAAUAAUAAUAAUGGUUUAUUACAGAUUCCAACAAUUAAGAGGCUCUUCUUCUGUAAGAUACUUACAAUUAACAAUAUACACUACAAUAUACACUACUGAUAAAAAAAAUUCUAAUAUAUUAAGUUCUAAGUUAUAAUAUCUAUAUGCAAUUUAAGAAUAUGUAUAUAAAAUGUCGAUUAAACGUGUAUUCAAAGUGA